AUCCUCUCUCUUCUCGCCGUGCCAAGGGUUGUCAUCAUUGCCACCCCUGCCCAUCCCAAGAUCUCAAUCUCGAGCAGGGGACAUACGCGGCCACGGGCAGCCGCCGGGGACGCCUCUGCAUCGUCGGCGGCAUAAUUAGGAGAGCAGCAUGUGGCGAUUCUGGUGGUCCUUCCUAGCUUCGAAAACUUCCAUAUCCAAGUUCGUUUAUGCUAGAAAGUGUUUACUGGAAUGCAUCUAUAGCAACGGGUAAUUGUCUGACCUUGUAGCAUCAAACAAUUUGCGCUACGAACUGUGGAUCAAUCUAAACAAUUAGAAAUGAGAACAAAAUUACUAACUGUAGCCCAUUUGUGUAUUUAUUCAUCAAGUUCAGUUUUGGAGAUUAUCACAUAUAUUAGGUUUCCAUUAAUCUAGGUACAGUUUGCUGGUGCCAUGCAUUUCCUGUUACAGCUAGUUAAUAAUAGUAUGUGAACUGGUUGAAAUCAUGGGACACUUGAGUCGUUUGUCUAACUAAUACGGGUUAAAUGACUGGUGUGUAUCACAUGCCUGAUGGAGGAGACAGAAAAUGCAACUCUUAUGUUGCUAUCCAAUUUAGUGCAGAGCGAUAAUCCAUCGAUCUCAGAGUGACACUAGGCAUAGUGGGGUGAACUUUUUAUUAGAAGGAGAUUAGCUAAAUAUUAUUACCAAAGAUCCUGCUCAACAUCCAGUUUCAGAAGAAUGUACAACUGUAGGUAACCAUGACGAGUCAUCAAUCUUCUACUGCCUUCCGCUCAAUUUUGUUUGGACGGUGCAUGAUUCCUUUCAUCGUGUCUUCAAUAAACCAAAGAGUUACUAGAGUAGUUCUAAUCAGGUGUAAACUAAUUGUGCAUCGAGUCUUCAAUAAACCAGAGCAGUUUCUACAUACUACACAUAUCUAAUAGUAUUUGCUAAUACUUGAAUACCUUCUGACUGGAUCGAUUUGCAUGGAGACUCGAUUGAUUCUAAUCAUAUACGGUGCACUUGUUCCAUGGAGUAGCGACGGAGAGCAAGCGAGAGGGUUUAGUUCGGUUGAAUCUGGGCAUGCUUUUAGACUUACAAUCGAUCUUGAUUUCCUCCUGAUGCCUGUAUCUGCAUAUGUGCAGCACAUGCAAAGUUGGGCGACAAGAGCCAGCUCGAUGAGGGCUUCCAUUGAAAACAUAUAUCUAAUAUUAUAUUUAAUCUGGAUCUGAUAGGAAAAUGGUCAAAGGCAAUCUAUGAUGGCAUAUUUGUUGAUUGUCAUUUGCAACUUUCUUCUUGAGCAAGCUGAAACAAAAGUGCUGCUCCAUCUAUCGGUUGCAGCUACAGCAUGAGCCCCUCUUUAGAUAGAUGGAUGGAAUUAUAUACUACGAAGUCUUUCUGUGAGGAUGCUUUUGUCAGAAUGUUUCUUUUACAAGAAAACAAAGUUGCACUGAUUUGACAAGGACGGGGGCAGUGGAAGGAGCGGGGCAUGCGUACAGUCAGGCUUCUCAAACGGACAACCAAGGUCCACCUUGUCAUGCGACAUGCCAAGAGCCUCAGGAUCUGCGGCAAGCACCUUGGUACUUCUUUACUUGUCCUUUUUUGGGGGAUAUGUUCUCUCUCUAUCAAUCUCUUUCUAAAUUUUUCUCAUCUUUGUUUCUGUGCCUGCAAUGUGGUCGGUGAAAUACGGUCAUUGAAUAGAGUUUGCAGCUCAUACUACAUAGGAGGACAUAGCAUGAAGAGGGCGAUGACCCUUGGGCGCUUGCCACGGGAUUAAGGGCUUGGACGUCGUCGUCGUCCUUGCCCAUCCGCGCAGGGCACCAUAGUGAACCCCGUCGGCUCCGUCGAUCUGCUAGACCUAGGUUUCAUGGCGGCGCAGAUGAAGGCCUUUUUCGACUCCAGGCCGGCCGCAGCCACAGCAUCGACGACAACCAGAUCAAACCCGACUCCUCUGACAUAUGGAUCGACCGUUGCUCCCUUGCUGACUACAACAAUGGGCUGAUCGGCAUCACACGCCAAAGCACCCACGUCACCAUCUCUAGGCCGUUCCCUUUUCUUCUGUCUGUCCUUGCUGCCACGGCGACUGGGUCAUCAGGCUCGAAUAGUCUUUCAACAUAUGAGUGAUUGAGUGAUACAGGAAGCUGGCUCAGAUUUUGUUUUCGAUCUGAUUGUGUGAUCUGUAUGUUCAUAGGAUAUGUUCGUUGAUGUUUACCUUUUUCUGAAUAUCUUGAUUAUAAAACAUGUUUGAUGCAAUUUUGGAGCUGAA
Molecule: long non-coding RNA, 2239 nt
Organism: Triticum dicoccoides
Lineage: Eukaryota; Viridiplantae; Streptophyta; Magnoliopsida; Poales; Poaceae
Exons: 5
Source: RefSeq, a predicted model, not a curated record